RNAcentral lists this ribosomal RNA (793 nucleotides) under Dugesia granosa. RNAcentral describes it as "SSU rRNA". It matches the Rfam family "Eukaryotic small subunit ribosomal RNA", at positions 143 to 944 of the family's 1831-position model. The record is from RNAcentral. Lineage: Eukaryota; Metazoa; Platyhelminthes; Tricladida; Dugesiidae.
AUAACUGUGGUAAUUCUAGAGCUAAUAUUUUAAAGAAUGCCGUGACUCACGAAGCGGCGGAUUUAUUAGAUCAAAACUAAUCUGUCGCAAGACAGAAAUUUGAUGACUCUGGAUAACUUUACUGAUCGUACAACACUCGGUUGACGACAAAUCUCUUGAAAUGGCUGACCUAUCAACUUUAGAUGGUAAGAUCAAAGCUUACCAUGGUUGUAACGGGUAACGGGGAAUCAGUGUUCGAUUCCGGAGAGGGAGCCUGAGAAACGGCUACCACAUCCACGGAAGGCAGCAGGCGCGAAAAUUACCCAAUACCGGUUCGGUGAGGUAGUGACAAUAAAUAACAAUAUGGGCCCUUAGUGGUUUCAUAAUUGCAAUGAGAUUAUUUUAAAUACUUUUUCAAGUAUCAAUUGGAGGGCAAGUCUGGUGCCAGCAGCCGCGGUAAUUCCAGCUCCAAAAGCGUAUAUUAAAGUUGUUGCAGUUAAAAAGCUCGUAGUUGAAAUUGGGGAAACGAUUUAAUGAACCGUCUAUGAUGGUGAUUUUUAUCUUCCUUCGUCGUCGUGUAUAUUGUUGAGUCACUUUAUUGAGAUUUAGCAGUAACCGACAAGUUUACUUUGAAAAAAUUAGAGUGCUUAAAGCAGGCUUAUGCUUGUAUAUUGUUGCAUGGAAUAAUGAAAUAAGACUUUGGUUUUAUUUUGUUGGUUUUCGAAACUAAAGUAAUGAUUAAAAGAGACUGCCGGGGGCAUAUGUAUGCUGGUGCUAGAGGUGAAAUUCUUAGACCAUCAGCAGACAAUCUACU